AUUGAACGCUGGCGGAAUGCUUUACACAUGCAAGUCGGGCGGCAGCGCGGGGGCAACCCUGGCGGCGAGCGGCGAACGGGUGAGUAAUACAUCGGAACGUGUCCUUGAGUGGGGGAUAGCUCGGCGAAAGCCGGAUUAAUACCGCAUAAGCUCUGAGGAGGAAAGCGGGGGACUGGUAACGGCCUCGCGCUGUUGGAGCGGCCGAUGUCGGAUUAGCUAGUUGGUGGGGUAAAGGCCCACCAAGGCGACGAUCCGUAGCUGGUCUGAGAGGAUGAUCAGCCACACUGGAACUGAGACACGGUCCAGACUCCUACGGGAGGCAGCAGUGGGGAAUUUUGGACAAUGGGGCAACCUGAUCCAGCCAUUCCGCGUGAGUGAAGAAGGCC
Molecule: ribosomal RNA, 386 nt
Filed under: uncultured bacterium
Lineage: Bacteria
Description: bacterial SSU rRNA
Rfam family: Bacterial small subunit ribosomal RNA
Source: RNAcentral